UGAGGAGGAGAAAGAAAAAGAAGGAAGCCGUUCUUUCAACAGAAGCUGGUUUUUCCUCUUCAUUUGUCACAAGAGGAACAGAUUGAAAGUUUGUCAUUAGAAUCUCUCUUCCCCACCCACCUCCCAUUCAUUCAUCUGCAUAACUACUGAAAUUGUAUACAGUAGUUGGAUGAAUAUGCUGGAUGUUGGGGUGGUCUGAAUAUGCCAGCAUGUCAUAACUUUAAAAAAACAACAACACUCUCUACCAAAUAAUGAGCACCAACAAAACCUUUCUUGCCCCAAAAGAGAUGAAAUGCAUUUGAUUGCAAGUCGGAUCAGCAUCGGGCCCUUCCAUUACAAGUGGCUGCACACCUUGUGCUGUAUUAUGAGCUUAAAAUCCUCCUAACUUUGUCUUAUUCCAGUUGUCUGCUCUGUCCAACCUCUGCAACAACCUGUGAAUUUUGAAGCAAGCAGGUAGACGCAAAUGUCCAUGUAUUUCCGAGAUGCAACUAUGCAGUAUCUUUCUGUAUGUGGGUUCCACUCCUGUACAGAGUUUUGGCGCGGGGUUUUUGAACCCAAUUGCAAAACUCUGAAAACGGUAUAAUCCAGAGGAUAACCAUAUUUUCACACAACCUCCCACAUCGGUCAUAAGAUUAGAAAUGAGGCCCAAGCAAACAAAAUCUCGUCCCUUUUUUUCUUGCAGGCACCAGCCCAUUUGCCACAAGGACCCCUGGCUAUUCUGACUCUCCUGUUCUCCAAGCAAUCAGCAGAAUUUUGUCUGAAGAGCCAGACCUCUAGCAGAAGAUUUCCUCCGGGACUAUAUCACAACAUCGGUAUGUGGUGGUGCUGCGGGUUAAACCACAGAAGCCUCUGUGCUGCAAGGUCAGAAGACCAGCCAUCAUAAGAUCGAAUCCACACGACAGAGGGAGCUCCCGUCGCUUGUCCUACCGGCCUAGCUGUUCGAAAGCAUGCAAAAACGCGAGUAGAUAAAUAGGGUACCACCUUGGUGGGAAGGUCACAGCGUUCUGUGUGUAGUCGCGUUGGCCAUGUGACCAAGGAAAUGGUCUUUGAACAUAAUGCUGGCUCUACGGCUUGGAGAUGGGGAUAAGCACCGUGGCCUAGAGUCGGACACGACUGGACUAAGUGUCAAGGGGAACCUUUACCUACAGUAGUCCAGU
This 1157-nucleotide long non-coding RNA is filed under the name Pogona vitticeps (central bearded dragon). RNAcentral describes it as "lncRNA (ENSPVIG00000011312.1)". The record is from RNAcentral. Lineage: Eukaryota; Metazoa; Chordata; Lepidosauria; Squamata; Agamidae.